GACGAACGCUGGCGGCGUGCCUAAUACAUGCAAGUCGAGCGGACGAAUCGAAAGCUUGCUUUUGAUUCGUUAGCGGCGGACGGGUGAGUAACACGUGGGCAACCUGCCCUGUAGACGGGGAUAACACCGAGAAAUCGGUGCUAAUACCGGAUAACACGAAAUGUCGCAUGACGUUUCGUUGAAAGACGGCGCAAGCUGCCGCUACAGGAUGGGCCCGCGGCGCAUUAGCUAGUUGGUGAGGUAACGGCUCACCAAGGCGACGAUACGUAGCCGACCUGAGAGGGUGAUCGGCCACACUGGGAGUGAGACACGGCCCAGACUCCUACGGGAGGAAGCAGUAGGGAAUCUUCCGCAAUGGACGAAAGUCUGACGGAGCAACGCCGCGUGAGCGAAGAAGGCCUUCGGGUCGUAAAGCUCUGUUGUUAGGGAAGAACAAGUAACGCAGUAACUGGCGUUACCGUGACGGUACCUAACGAGAAAGCCACGGCUAACUACGUG
This 498-nucleotide ribosomal RNA is filed under the name uncultured bacterium. RNAcentral describes it as "partial 16S ribosomal RNA". It matches the Rfam family "Bacterial small subunit ribosomal RNA", at positions 28 to 507 of the family's 1533-position model. The record is from RNAcentral.